RNAcentral lists this ribosomal RNA (429 nucleotides) under Bacteroidota bacterium. RNAcentral's name for it is "Bacteroidetes bacterium partial 16S ribosomal RNA". It matches the Rfam family "Bacterial small subunit ribosomal RNA", at positions 355 to 776 of the family's 1533-position model. Lineage: Bacteria; Pseudomonadati; Bacteroidota. The record is from RNAcentral.
UAGGGAAUCUUCCGCAAUGGACGCAAGUCUGACGGAGCAACGCCGCGUGAGUGAAGAAGGAUUUCGGUUCGUAAAACUCUGUUGUUAGAGAAGAACAGCGCAUAGAGUAACUGUUAUGCGUGUGACGGUAUCUAACCAGAAAGCCACGGCUAACUACGUGCCAGCAGCCGCGGUAAUACGUAGGUGGCAAGCGUUGUCCGGAUUUAUUGGGCGUAAAGCGAGCGCAGGCGGUCAAUUAAGUCUGAUGUGAAAGCCCCCGGCUCAACCGGGGAGGGUCAUUGGAUACUGGUUGACUUGAGUGCAGAAGAGGAGAGUGGAAAUCCAUGUGUAGCGGUGAAAUGCGUAGAUAUAUGGAGGAACACCAGUGGCGAAGGCGACUCUCUGAUCUGUAACUGACGCUGAGGCUCGAAAGCGUGGGUAGCAAACAGG